GGAUUGUGGCUCCGUGUAGAGCGCUUGCCUGCCAUGCAUGAGGCACUGGGUUCGAUCCUCAGCACCA
RNAcentral lists this transfer RNA (67 nucleotides) under Marmota monax (woodchuck). RNAcentral's name for it is "tRNA.Gly". The stretch from base 5 to 64 matches the Rfam family "tRNA", at positions 6 to 65 of the family's 71-position model. From Rfam's summary of the family: Transfer RNA (tRNA) molecules are approximately 80 nucleotides in length. Their secondary structure includes four short double-helical elements and three loops (D, anti-codon, and T loops). Lineage: Eukaryota; Metazoa; Chordata; Mammalia; Rodentia; Sciuridae. The record is from RNAcentral.